Molecule: long non-coding RNA, 319 nt
Filed under: Brachypodium distachyon (stiff brome)
Lineage: Eukaryota; Viridiplantae; Streptophyta; Magnoliopsida; Poales; Poaceae
Description: long non-coding RNA (BDIS_LNC001754)
Source: RNAcentral
AGUAACAGGCAAUUGUCCACACAAAGGGUGGAGAGGACCCAAGGUACUAUCAGAGGAUAGAUCUUUAGGUUUCCUGUGGACUAAGACUUUUUCUUUUUAUCAGACCUGAUUUUCUUUUUAGUUUAUUUAGAGAUAACAGGGGUAAAGUCUUUCUCAUCCUCUUCAAAACACAUGUUCCCUUUCCUAGUCAAGUAACAAAAUAGUACCAUCCCCAAUCACAUCUCCCUCAAGUAGGUCCUCACUAUCUUUUUGAGCAAGACCAUGUCUUGCAAUUUCUAAAUCUUUCAGAAUAUUGAUUUGUUCUAAAGGAAGUGAGUUA